GACGUAUUCAGAGAAUGAUAUUUUCUAUGUGGAGGACAAGAAAACAGGGGGUGCAUGGUUGUCGUCAGGAGGUGUCGUGAGAUGUUCGGUUAAGUCCCGCAAUGAGCACAACCCCUAUCAUUUGUGGCCAGCACGUGAAGAUGGGAAAUCAAGUGAGACUCCCGCGGACAACGCGGAGGAAGGCGGGGAUGACGUCAAGUCAUCAUGCCCUUUACGUCCUGGGCUACACACGUACUGCAAUGGGACACACAGAGGGAAGCGAAGGAGUGAUCUGGAGCGGACCCCAAAAAAUGUCUCCCAGUUCGGAUUGCAGGCUGCAACCCGCCGGCAUGAAGUCGGAAUCGCUAGUAAUCGCAGGUCAGCAUAUUGCGGUGAAUACGUUACCGGGCCUUGUACACACCGCCCGUCACACCACGAAAGUCAUU
RNAcentral lists this ribosomal RNA (425 nucleotides) under uncultured Pectinatus sp. RNAcentral's name for it is "bacterial SSU rRNA". It matches the Rfam family "Bacterial small subunit ribosomal RNA", at positions 993 to 1415 of the family's 1533-position model. The record is from RNAcentral. Lineage: Bacteria; Bacillati; Bacillota; Negativicutes; Selenomonadales; Selenomonadaceae.